UGAACUGGGUGGCUAGAGUGUGUCAGAGGGGGGUAGAAUUCCACGUGUAGCAGUGAAAUGCGUAGAGAUGUGGAGGAAUACCGAUGGCGAAGGCAGCCCCCUGGGAUGGCACUGACGUUCAUGCCCGAAAGCGUGGGUAGCAAACAGGAUUAGAUACCCUGGUAGUCCACGCCCUAAACGAUGUCGAUUAGCUGUUGGGCAACUUGAUUGCUUGGUAGCGAAGCUAACGCGUGAAAUCGACCGCCUGGGGAGUACGGUCGCAAGAUUAAAACUCAAAGGAAUUGACGGGGACCCGCACAAGCGGUGGAUGAUGUGGAUUAAUUCGAUGCAACGCGAAGAACCUUACCUGGUCUUGACAUGUACGGAACCUUCCGGAGACGGAAGGGUGCCUUCGGGAGCCGUAACACAGGUGCUGCAUGGCUGUCGUCAGCUCGUGUCGUGAGAUGUUGGGUUAAGUCCCGCAACGAGCGCAACCCUUGUCAUUAGUUGCCAUCAUUUGGUUGGGCACUCUAAUGAGACUGCCGGUGACAAGCCGGAGGAAGGUGGGGAUGACGUCAAGUCCUCAUGGCCCUUAUGACCAGGGCUUCACACGUCAUACAAUGGUCGGUACAGAGGGUAGCCAAGCCGCGAGGUGGAGCCAAUCCCAAAAAACCGAUCGUAGUCCGGAUUGCACUCUGCAACUCGAGUGCAUGAAGUCGGAAUCGCUAGUAAUCGCAGGUCAGCAUACUGCGGUGAAUACGUUCCCGGGUCUUGUACACACCGCCCGUCACACCAUGGGAGUGGGGGAUACCAGAAGCAGGUAGGCUAACCGCAAGGGGGCCGCUUGCCACGGUAUGCUUCAUGACUGGGGUGAAGUCGUAACAAGGUAGCCGUAGGGGAACC
RNAcentral lists this ribosomal RNA (882 nucleotides) under uncultured Neisseria sp. Its description in RNAcentral is "bacterial SSU rRNA". It matches the Rfam family "Bacterial small subunit ribosomal RNA", at positions 629 to 1512 of the family's 1533-position model. The record is from RNAcentral. Lineage: Bacteria; Pseudomonadati; Pseudomonadota; Betaproteobacteria; Neisseriales; Neisseriaceae.